This 253-nucleotide ribosomal RNA is filed under the name uncultured bacterium. RNAcentral's name for it is "partial 16S ribosomal RNA". It matches the Rfam family "Bacterial small subunit ribosomal RNA", at positions 524 to 776 of the family's 1533-position model. The record is from RNAcentral.
UACGGAGGGUGCAAGCGUUGUUCGGAUUUAUUGGGCGUAAAGGGCGUGUAGGCGGUCUCGUAAGUCUGAUGUGAAAGCCCCGGGCUCAACCCGGGAAGUGCAUUGGAAACUGUGAGACUUGAGUACGGGAGAGGGCAGUGGAAUUCCUAGUGUAGCGGUGAAAUGCGUAGAUAUCAGGAGGAACACCGGUGGCGAAGGCGGCUACCUGGACAGAGUCUGACGCUGAGGCACGAAAGCUAGGGGAGCAAACAGG